RNAcentral lists this ribosomal RNA (462 nucleotides) under uncultured bacterium. RNAcentral's name for it is "partial 16S ribosomal RNA". It matches the Rfam family "Bacterial small subunit ribosomal RNA", at positions 28 to 507 of the family's 1533-position model. The record is from RNAcentral.
GACGAACGCUGGCGGCGUGCUUAACACAUGCAAGUCGAGCGGUAAGGCCUUUCGGGGUACACGAGCGGCGAACGGGUGAGUAACACGUGGGUGAUCUGCCCUGCACUUCGGGAUAAGCCUGGGAAACUGGGUCUAAUACCGGAUAUGACCUCCUAUCGCAUGGUGGGUGGCGGAAAGAUUUAUCGGUGCAGGAUGGGCCCGCGGCCUAUCAGCUUGUUGGUGGGGUAAUGGCCUACCAAGGCGACGACGGGUAGCCGACCUGAGAGGGUGACCGGCCACACUGGGACUGAGACACGGCCCAGACUCCUACGGGAGGCAGCAGUGGGGAAUAUUGCACAAUGGGCGAAAGCCUGAUGCAGCGACGCCGCGUGAGGGAUGACGGCCUUCGGGUUGUAAACCUCUUUCAGCAGGGACGAAGCGCAAGUGACGGUACCUGCAGAAGAAGCACCGGCUAACUACGUG